CAGUCGCCACGGUAAUACAGAGGGUGCAAGCGUUAAUCGGAAUUACUGGGCGUAAAGCGCGCGUAGGUGGUUUGUUAAGUUGGAUGUGAAAGCCCCGGGCUCAACCUGGGAACUGCAUCCAAAACUGGCAAGCUAGAGUACGGUAGAGGGUGGUGGAAUUUCCUGUGUAGCGGUGAAAUGCGUAGAUAUAGGAAGGAACACCAGUGGCGAAGGCGACCACCUGGACUGAUACUGACACUGAGGUGCGAAAGCGUGGGGAGCAAACAGGAUUAGAUACCCGAGUAGUCCCUGUCUCUUAUAC
Molecule: ribosomal RNA, 301 nt
Filed under: uncultured bacterium
Lineage: Bacteria
Description: partial 16S ribosomal RNA
Rfam family: Bacterial small subunit ribosomal RNA
Source: RNAcentral